This 439-nucleotide ribosomal RNA is filed under the name uncultured bacterium. RNAcentral's name for it is "partial 16S ribosomal RNA". It matches the Rfam family "Bacterial small subunit ribosomal RNA", at positions 339 to 795 of the family's 1533-position model. The record is from RNAcentral.
CUACGGGUGGCUGCAGUGGGGAAUAUUGCACAAUGGACGAAAGUCUGAUGCAGCAACGCCGCGUGGAGGAUGACACUUUUCGGAGCGUAAACUCCUUUUAUAUCCCAAGAUAAUGACGGUAGGAUAUGAAUAAGCACCGGCUAACUCCGUGCCAGCAGCCGCGGUAAUACGGGGGGUGCAAGCGUUACUCGGAAUCACUGGGCGUAAAGAGCGUGUAGGCGGGUUUGUAAGUUGGAAGUGAAAUCCUGUGGCUCAACCAUAGAACUGCUUCCAAAACUGCUUACCUAGAAUAUGGGAGAGGUAGAUGGAAUUUCUGGUGUAGGGGUAAAAUCCGUAGAGAUCAGAAGGAAUACCGAUUGCGAAGGCGAUCUACUGGAACAUUAUUGACGCUGAGACGCGAAAGCGUAGGGAGCAAACAGGAUUAGAUACCCCAGUAGUC